GGCGAACGCUGGCGGCGUGCUUAACACAUGCAAGUCGAACGGAAAGGCCUGCUUUCCCUUGUGGAUUGCGGGUACUCGAGUGGCGAACGGGUGAGUAACACGUGAGUGAUCUGCCCCCAACUUGGGUAUAAGCCUGGGAAACUGGGUCUAAUUCCCGAUAGGACUGCAGGGUGGUGCCUGUGGUGGAAAACGUUUUUCUUGUGGUUGGGGAUGAGCUCGCGGCCUAUCAGCUUGUUGGUGGGGUACUGGCCUACCAAGGCGGCGACGGGUAGCCGGCCUGGGAGGGUGGACGGCCGCAUUGGGACUGCGAUACGGCCCCGACUCCUACGGGAGGCAGCAGUGGGGAAUAUUGCACAAUGGGCGGAAGCCUGAUGCAGCGACGCCGCGUGGGGGAUGACGGCCUUCGGGUUGUAACCUCCUUUCGACCGCGAGGAAGCCACCUGGUUGGAAGGGUGGUGACGGUAGUGGUAGAAGAAGCACCGGCUAACUACGUG
RNAcentral lists this ribosomal RNA (494 nucleotides) under uncultured bacterium. Its description in RNAcentral is "partial 16S ribosomal RNA". It matches the Rfam family "Bacterial small subunit ribosomal RNA", at positions 28 to 507 of the family's 1533-position model. The record is from RNAcentral.